Erinaceus europaeus (western European hedgehog) is the source of this 867-nucleotide long non-coding RNA. RefSeq lists it as uncharacterized. The transcript has 3 exons. The record is from RefSeq and is a predicted model, not a curated record. NCBI's taxonomy places the organism in Eukaryota, Metazoa, Chordata, Mammalia, Eulipotyphla, Erinaceidae.
GGUCUCAGAAAUCAUCUCAACACAGCCCUUCAGGAAGCUGACAGGCAAGGCUGGGAGCUGGCACGAAGGCAGGCACCCUGCACCCUACCCAUCCAUCACCUCUUGACUCACACAGCAGGCUGAGUGGUGGACAGAAGAGGUGUGUCAUCACUAUCACUUUGGAGGCAUACACUGUGCUGUCAGAGAUUCCCAGAACUUAGAGGAAUGAUGAUUGUUUUGGGUCUUCCCAGAGCUGGAGAAGCCACCCGCACAUCACCUCAGACGUGAGCUUAUUGACUGACAUGUUCAUCAGAGAUCCCUAGAUCCACGUGUCACUUAGAAGGAAGGCACAGGAAAUGAGCUCCCAUUAUCAAGAAAGGACUCAAGAAACCUCAAGCGUGUGUGAAACCUUCCUGAUGCCUGGUGUUAAUCUCGACUGGCACUGUGCUCUUGGGUUCGGAGACAGAACUCCAGUGACCUGUGGGCCACACCUGCCCCUGCAGGAACAGUCACUGCAAAGCCCCACCCACAUGUCUGGGGCCUGACCUGAAGCUGCCUUUGUCCCUAAGUGGGGCCUCCUGGGAGUGGCCUGCACAGACAGCAGAUCUCCACUUAACUCUGGAUAAUGCAUCACCCUUAUCUUUCCGCUGCUGGUUCUAAGAGCCGGUCUUGUCGUGGCUUCAUUGAUUAUCGAUCCAAUUCCUUGGCAGAGAGGCACGGCCUUGCGCUCCUCACCAUAAGCACUAGCUGUGCGCUUUACGGCGGAGCUGUGCUAUGGGGACGCUACCCAUUCUGGAAGUGGGGGCUUGGUGGCACUAAGGAGCUUACCUGGUGCACUGAGGAGCUUACCUGGUGGACUAAGGAGCUUACCUGGCGCACUGAGGUGCU